RNAcentral lists this ribosomal RNA (499 nucleotides) under uncultured bacterium. Its description in RNAcentral is "partial 16S ribosomal RNA". It matches the Rfam family "Bacterial small subunit ribosomal RNA", at positions 30 to 523 of the family's 1533-position model. The record is from RNAcentral.
AUUGAACGCUGCGGCAUGCCUUACACAUGCAAGUCGAACGGCAGCACGGGAGCAAUCCUGGUGGCGAGUGGCGAACGGGUGAGUAAAGUAUCGGAACGUGCCCAGUCGUGGGGGAUAACGUAGCGAAAGUUACGCUAAUACCGCAUACGAUCUAUGGAUGAAAGCUGGGGAUCGCAAGACCUCGCGCGAUUGGAGCGGCCGAUAUCAGAUUAGGUAGUUGGUGGGGUAAAGGCUCACCAAGCCGACGAUCUGUAGCUGGUCUGAGAGGACGACCAGACACACUGGGACUGAGACACGGCCCAGACUCCUACGGGAGGCAGCAGUGGGGAAUUUUGGACAAUGGGCGAAAGCCUGAUUCAGCCAUGCCGCGUGCAGGAUGAAGGCCUUCGGGUUGUAAACUGCUUUUGUACGGAACGAAAAGGUUUGGCCUAAUAAGCUGAGCUCAUGACGGUACCGUAAGAAUAAGCACCGGCUAACUACGUGCCAGCCGCCGCAGUAA